Molecule: ribosomal RNA, 274 nt
Filed under: uncultured bacterium
Lineage: Bacteria
Description: partial 16S ribosomal RNA
Rfam family: Bacterial small subunit ribosomal RNA
Source: RNAcentral
AUACGGAGGGAGCGAGCGUUAAUCGGAAUUACUGGGCGUAAAGCGCGCGUAGGCGGCUUUGUAAGUCGGAUGUGAAAGCCCUGGGCUCAACCUGGGAAUGGCAUUCGAUACUGCAGAGCUAGAGGAUGGUAGAGGGAAGUGGAAUUUCCGGUGUAGCGGUGAAAUGCGUAGAUAUCGGAAGGAACACCAGUGGCGAAGGCGACUUCCUGGGCCAAUACUGACGCUGAGGUGCGAAAGCGUGGGGAGCAAACAGGAUUAGAAACCCCAGUAGUCC